UAAUAAAAUGGCUGAGUUGUAAGCGAUAAAUUGUAAAUUUAUUAACGGGAAUUUUCUCUUUUAUUAU
Molecule: transfer RNA, 67 nt
Filed under: Junonia genoveva infuscata
Lineage: Eukaryota; Metazoa; Arthropoda; Insecta; Lepidoptera; Nymphalidae
Also listed under: 2 other names
Description: tRNA-Tyr
Rfam family: tRNA
About the family: Transfer RNA (tRNA) molecules are approximately 80 nucleotides in length. Their secondary structure includes four short double-helical elements and three loops (D, anti-codon, and T loops).
Source: RNAcentral